This 253-nucleotide ribosomal RNA is filed under the name uncultured bacterium. RNAcentral describes it as "partial 16S ribosomal RNA". It matches the Rfam family "Bacterial small subunit ribosomal RNA", at positions 524 to 776 of the family's 1533-position model. The record is from RNAcentral.
UACGGGGGGGGCAAGCGUUGUUCGGAAUUACUGGGCGUAAAGGGCUCGUAGGUGGCCAACUAAGUCGGACGUGAAAUCCCUCAGCUUAACUGAGGAACUGCGUCCGAUACUGGAUGGCUUGAGUUUGGGAGAGGGAUGCGGAAUUCCAGGUGUAGCGGUGAAAUGCGUAGAUAUCUGGAGGAACACCGGUGGCGAAGGCGGGUCUCUGGGCCGAUACUGACGCUGAGGAGCGAAAGCGUGGGGAGCGAACAGG